GAUGAACGCUAGCAGCAGGCCUAACACAUGCAAGUCGAGGGGCAGCACAGAAACAGCAAUGUUUUGGUGGCGACCGGCGGACGGGUGCGUAACGCGUAUGCAACCUACCUUACACAGGGGGAUAACGGAUGGAAACGUCCACUAACACCCCAUAACAUCGGAAUCGGCAUCGGAUCCGGUUGACAUCUCCGGAGGUGUAGGAUGGGCAUGCGUUGUAUUAGAUAGUUGGUGAGGUAACGGCUCACCAAGUCGACGAUACAUAGGGGGACUGAGAGGUUAGCCCCCCACACUGGUACUGAGACACGGACCAGACUCCUACGGGAGGCAGCAGUGAGGAAUAUUGGUCAAUGGGGGCAACCCUGAACCAGCCAUGCCGCGUGCAGGAAGACGGCUCUAUGAGUUGUAAACUGCUUUUACACAGGGAUAAAUCGGGGUACGCGUACCCCAUUGAAGGUACUGUGGGAAUAAGGAUCGGCUAACUCCGUGCCAGCCGCCGCCGUAA
This 502-nucleotide ribosomal RNA is filed under the name uncultured bacterium. Its description in RNAcentral is "partial 16S ribosomal RNA". It matches the Rfam family "Bacterial small subunit ribosomal RNA", at positions 28 to 523 of the family's 1533-position model. The record is from RNAcentral.